This 11076-nucleotide long non-coding RNA is filed under the name Nicotiana tabacum (common tobacco). RNAcentral's name for it is "long non-coding RNA (NTAB_LNC007010)". Lineage: Eukaryota; Viridiplantae; Streptophyta; Magnoliopsida; Solanales; Solanaceae. The record is from RNAcentral.
CAAAAAUAACCCAAUCUGCCGUUUGUCUUAAAAAAUCUAAAGAAAAGCCAAAAAAGAUGACAAAAAGAAAAGGACCAAAAAGCUGACCUAAGGAUAUAAUCAGACGCUAUAACAAAAAAGAGAGGCGCCGUGUUUUGACAAAAAAAUCGUACCCUCUUCCCUUGACUUCAUCUUCUCCAAACGACCCCCUUUUCCUCAUCUCUGGCGGAGCCCACACCAGCGACCAGCAUCAACCCCUGUUUCGCCAAAAAUAAGCAGAAAAAGACCGUCCUUGUUUGCUAAAUCAAAGUGAAAUAGACCGGAAAACGUCCCCGACGAGGUCCCGGUUUGAAUUUCCGGUGUACGGUUAGAGGCUAAGAAGGAGGAACUUUGUACGCAAGAAAUGGAGGUAGUCCUCUCAUAUUCUUCUUAUUCUUGUCUUAGCAAACUCUAUAGUAUGCUUUAUCUAUCAUCCAAAAUAUGUACUUUGUCAUCUCUCCUUUUUUGUAAUUAUAUUUAAAUCUGAUUGACUUGGAUGACAACAACGUGCAUUAGUCUGUUGAUUUAUCUCUACAAAUUUAAGAGGGGUGGUAUUCAAUAGAACUAUGUUCAUUUUAUGUUCUACCUAAGCAGAAAUUCGAAAAGUUUCUUAUUUCGCGUAAGAACAUGCAAACCAUUUAUCCUAGAUAUAUGUAUUCAAGUUAUAUCUCAGUUCAAACGAGUGUAUUUCAGAAAUUGAGGCAACGAGAUUAAAUUAAAUUUUUUUAAUUACUAAAUUCGGGUAUGCAUUUCAUGUGACCCUACCAUAAUUUUUGAAUAAUGAUAAUAGAAAUUAUCAUGUUAUAAAUCCGGGUGUACAUUUCAUGUGACCCUGUUCUCAUUUCCAACAAGGUUAAAUAGAACGUGUCGUGAACCACGGGUGCAUUUCAUGUAGCGUGGCUUGCAAUGUGUUUUAAAUAACCUUGAAUUAAUCCUUUAAAUAAGUAAAAGCGGUUUUCAAAAGUUAAAAAUGUACAUAAGUUUAAAAGUGUUUUAAAAAUCAAAUAAAUAAGCCAAUAAUAAUAGUUGAGCGAUCGUGCUAGAACCAUGGAACCCGGGAAUGCCUAACACCUUCUCCCGAAUUAACAGAAUUCCUUACUCGGAUUUCUGUGGUCGCGGACUAUAAAACAGAGUCAAUCUUUCCUCGAUUUCGGAUUUGAACCGGUGACUUGGGACUCCAUAGACCAUCCCAAGUGGCGACUCUGAUUUUAAAUAAAAUAAUCCUGUUUCAAUUGUCACUUAAAUUGGAAAGAACUCCCUUAUACCGCCAUCGGGUGGUAAAAAGGAGGUAUGACAGCUCUGGCGACUCUGUUGGGGAGGAGAACCCAGAACUUUUGGUUCAAGGUUCAGAAUUAGAGCUUAGAAUAAUUGUUAUAGUUGGCUUUUAUUAUUAUAUGAUUUUUUACAUGUUUGAGCCUAAUGUGCUAAAUGCCGCUUUUUACCGCUUUGAUAUUUUUGAACUGUAUAUAAAUUGUUACGAAACCCUCUUCUCUCUAAGUCUUCUAAAUCAUCUAGGAAUUGUGCACUUUGUGUGACUUCUUUUCUGUUAGAGUCAUAUCCCAAUUUUAGAACGAGGUUCUGACAAGUUGCAAAGCAGGUAAAGCUUCUGUAUUUCCGGUACACUGCCCCCCUCGGCUCGACCGCUCGGGUAAGCCAGAUCUAGAACAAUACACCCAGGUUUUUAAACCUAGAAUAACAUAGCCUUAUGUCGGAUCCCUAGUAGCAAUGCUUAUUUGCAUCACGUGCAUUUGACUUUGCGGACUCAACACAGGGGUUGGAUCCGUCUAGGACAAGUGUACCCAAUUUAAAAGAACAUCCUGAUGCAUCUUACGUGCUACUUGCCUAUCUGUUUGUUUCGGCUUGCAUGUUGACUGGCUUCUAGAAUAGGGAAAGAAAAUGAAAAAAGAGAAAAUAAAGAGAAAAUAAAAAAAAAAAAAAAAGAAAAGAGAGUGAGAGGUAGGUAUUUGAAUUAUCCUAAAAUUCUGCCGAAAUUUUGAAAAAAAGAAGAGAAAAAGUCAUUUCAAAAUAAAUCAUGUUUUUCCUGUUCCAUCAAAACCGGUGAACUACGCGGGUCUGAUUCUCACCGGAUGUGAGAUACGUAGGCAAACCUCAUCGGUUCCGACCCCAUUUUUCAAAAAUUCAAAAAAAAUCCUUUAAUUCCUUCUUUAGAAGUCUUUCUUUAGAAAGUCCAAAUAAAAAAAGUUAACAAAAAAUAUUUUCUUUCAUUUUAGAAGUCUUUCAUUUGAAAAGAAAAUCAAAUCAAAAUCCAAAAAAAUAUUUUCUACGUUUUUUAGAAGUCUUUUUCCCAAAAAAUCAAAACAAUCAAAUCAAAAUCCAAAAAAAUAUUUUCUUUCUUCUUUAGAAGUCUUUCUUUCAAAAAUUUUGAAAAAAAAAAACAAAAUCAAAAAUAUAAAAAUAUUUUCAUUGAAAAGAAAUUCAAGAAUCAAAAAUAUUUUCUUUUUCUUUAGAAGUAGUUCUUUCAUAAAUUGAAAAUAAAAGUCCAAAAAUUCAAAAAUAUUUCUUUCCUUCUUUAAAAGUUUUUCUUUCGGAAAUUCCAAAAAAAAAGAGUCAAAAUUCAAUAUAUAUAUAUUUCUAAAUAAAUUUCAAAAUUCAAAAAGAGAGUCAAUUUAGUUACUUUAUUCCCGAUCUUCCCGAACUACGCAAGAUCUGAUUCAUGUUCCCACAUGUUACGUAGGCAACCCACAUCAAGUUCGAUCAACCAUUGAAAAGAAAAAUGAGAAUAAAUAAAAAAAAGAGGAAAAAGAAAAGAAAAAAGAAAAAAAAUCCAGUAUCUAAAACUGGGGCAGAGAUUUUAUUUUACUUUUGAAAGAGUCGAUUCCAAGAGAUGUAAGUCCACAACCCCUCAUUUUGAGUCUACUUUAAGCCUUCAUGCCGUCCCUUCUUUCCAACGCUAUCCAAAAUCCUUCCAAAUAAAGACCUCCCGAUAUGCCUUCAAGAAUGCUAAGAGAAGAAUUAUGCAAUGAGUAACAGUUGUCACACGACAUAGAACACUGUCAAGUUGCUCAAGAAAACAACAGAUUAAAAAAAGAGAAGAAGAAAAAUGAGAGAGUCUUACAAGUGAAAACCCUCAUAGGCACUAUAAGGCGACGGUAAGCAGAGAUGAAUAAAUGAGAGAGACUUGUUGGUGAAAAUCCCUCGGGGAACCACUAAUCGAAAGUGAGUCAUGAAGCGAUGCAAAGGAUUGGCACGAACAAGCCCGACUUCAAAGGUCAUAAGAAUGGCAAAAGGGAAGAUUGGAUUAAUUUGAUAGAUCAAGCCAUUGAGUCCAAAAUGCAUGUCAUGACCAUUAAGGCUAGUUAUUGAAAAAAAAAGGAAAAAAAACUCUUCCUUCUGUCCUUCCGACAGGGGCAUUUUUUGUUAAUAAUUGUCUCAUUGCAUCAUUGUGUCCUUCACUCCGAGUUCAAACAAGCAAGAAAAGAUUUCAAAAUCUACUACCAGUUUGUCAAUUGCACAAAGUAAAGUUGGCCAGCACACUCAGUUGUUACUUUUAACAUGCCUUGAGGAUUCAUGCAAAAGAUCCCCCCCUAAAAGACUCUUGUCAGCCUGCUUGGCGCAAACAAAGAUAACUUGUGAUUCUCUCUGGCAGACAAAUUGCUCAAAAGUAGGAAGUCAUUCAAGAUAUCAGAAAAGGUCACUUGAGCAAAGAUCUCCCGUUGGGAUAAGGCUGAUUGAACCACAAAUACAAAUGGUAAUGGGUUUGAAAAAAUCGGGGUUGAUGCAGAGUAAAAGUCUCUUGAAACCUACUCAAGCUGAUUGAGCAAAAGUCAAAGCUGUCCAAGGACUCAAGGCCACAACCGACUACCAUUUUCAAAACUGACAAAUUUUUCUUUGUGUGAAACAGGAACAAAGCAGUGCAAGAAAAGUUGUUAAAAAAAACAAAAAAAAGAGAAAAAAAAACAAAAAAAAGAAAGAAAAAAAGAGAAGAAAAAGAAAAGAAGAGAAGAGCCGACAAAAGGAAGUUUCUCAAAUCUUUACCUUUAUUUGUUUUGUUAAUGUGUAAAAAAUCUUGCCAUUGAUAUUCACAUUUUGCAUCCUAGGAUAAAAAGUCCUAGUCUGAUGGAUUUUUCUCCCAAUAGAAAUCUUAGUCUGAUGAAUUUUUCUCCUAAGAUAGAAGACCUAGUCUGAUGAACUUUCUCAUAGGAUAAAAAUCUUAGUCCGAUGAAUCUUUCUCAUAAGAUAAUAAAAAAAGGACCUAGUCUAAUGAACUUUCUCCUAGGAUCAAAAUCUUAGUCUGAUGAAUCUUUCUCCUAAGAUAGAAGACCUAGUCUGAUUAACUUUCUCCUAGGAUCAAAAUAUUAGUCCGAUGAAUCUUUCUCCUAAGAUAAUAAAAAAAGACUUAGUCUGAUGAACUUUCUCCUAGGAUCAAAAUCUUAGUCUGAUGAAUCUUUCUCCUAAGAUAGAAAACCUUGUCUGAUGAAUUUUCUCCUAGGAUCAAAGUCUUAGUCCGAUGAAUUUUUCUCCUAAGAUAGAAGACCUAGUCUGAUGAACUUUCUCCUAGGAUAGAAAUCUUAGUCUGAUGAAUCUUUCUCCUAAGAUAUAAAAAGAGAGACCUAAUCUGAUGAAUUUUCUCCUAUNNNNNNNNNNNNNNNNNUCNAAGUCUUAGUCUGAUGAAUUUUUCUCCUAAAAUAGAAGACCUAGUCUGAUGAACUUUCUCCUAGGAUAGAGAUCUUAGUCUGAUGAAUCUUUCUCCUAAGAUACAAAAAAAGAGACCUAAUCUAAUGAAUUUUCUCCUAUGAUCAAAGUCUUAGUCGGGUGAAUUUUGCUCCUAAGAUAGAAGACCUAGUCUGAUGAACUUUCUCCUAGGAUAGAAAUCUUAGUCUGAUGAAUCUUUCUUCUAAGAUACCAAAAAAAAGAGACCUAGUCUGAUGAAUUUUCUCCUAGAAUCAAAUCUUAGUCUAAUGAAUUUUUCUCCUAAGAUAGAAGACUUAGUCUGAUGAACUUUCUCCUUGGAUCAAAACCUUAGUCUGAUGAAUCUUUCUCUUAAGAUACCAAAAUAAAGUGACCUAGUCUGACGAAUUUUCUCCUAGGAUAAUUUGAAAAAAGAAGAAGUCUGGAUUUAAAAAAAAAGGGGUCAACCUUAGUUUCUUAAGCUAUCAAUGUUUAGUUUUCUUGAAAUCAGGGGUCCCACCUAAAGAAUGAGGUCAGUUUUUACUUUAGUCAAGCUUAGUUUAUAGUUUUCCGCAAGCUAAAUCACUUAUAGGAGACAUACAUCCUAGUCGAGUCAUUAAUUUUACUUUCAUCAUUGCAUAAGUGGUUUACAGUUUUGCUAACAACUCACAAAUCUUCCGAGUGCAAAUUGGGGCAGAAAAUUUUGUUGGUUUUGUUGUUUUGAUUGCAGGCACCCACUUGUAGAAUAAGGGAAGACAGUUCAAGAGUCAACGGAAAACGAGUCAAGUUUUGAGGGAAAAACAGUACAAGUGUUGGAAAUCAGGAGUCCACCUGGAGAAUAAAGGGAAAGUAGCAAUAUUCAAGGGAAGAAAGUUCAAAAGAAAAAGCAGUUUCAAGAAGAGGACAAUUCAGGUUCAGCAAUCAGGCACCCACUUGGAGAAACAAGGGAAAACAACACGAGUUUCAAGAGUAGAAAGUAGUUCAGGUUCAAGCAAUCAGGCACACAUAUGGAGAAACAAGGGAAGACGAUUCCAAGAAAAAGCGGUCUUAAGAGAAAGCAGUUCAGGUUCAACAAUCAGGAGCCCAUUUGAAGAACAAAGUGAAAAACAGUACAAGUGUUGGAAAUUGGAGCCCACCAAGAGAACAAAGGGAAAGCAAUUCAAGUGUUGGUAAUCAGGAGCCCACCUGGAGAACAAAGGGAAGUAGUUCAAGUUUCGAGGAAAAAAAGUUCAAGUGUUGGAAAUCAGGCGCCUGUCUGGAGAACAAGGGAAGUCAUUUUAGAAUCCGAUUCAAGUUAGAAGUAGCAGAAGCUCGUCUCAAAAAUGCGGGUUGACAGGGGUCCGAGAUAACAAAAAAGAAGUCUCAAUCAAGAAUAAAAGGAAAAAAAGUGAAUCCAAAGUGCAGAAGUGGAGAAAAGAUGUGGUCUGCUCAAGACAUAAUUGAAGUCACAAGCUCUGCAUGUCCCGUCUUGAUCUGAAAAGCUGAAGAAGAUUGAACUAACACAUGUAGCUAACAAGCAUCAAGAUUCACAUCAGAGUCCGCAUGAAUAACCAACCAAGACUCAAGAUCAAGCUUCAGAAGACUCAUAGAUAGGAAUCUUGUAAUUCGUUGCUGAUAGGCUUAGUUAGUCUUUUUUAUUUUUUGAUUUUGAUGUAAUAACGGGAUCGCGGACCGGAACCUCGACGACACCCCAAUCGGCUCUCCACCUCGGUACUCUAUCACCUCAUUCACUUCUGAACUACACGUGGCCUGAUUCCUUUAUAGCCAAGGAUAUGUAGGCAGCUCAGAUACUAGGGCUCGGUCACAUUCUCCUUUCUUUUUGUAUUGGUCUCUCCAAAUAAGGGUCGGGUCAAAAUACCUGUCUCGUCGUUCUUUGUCUGAAAACUCUUCGCGUUUCCAGUCAAAGAGGGGCAGCUGUAGACAUGUGAUUUUUGACUCUCCCCAAGAUUUUUUAUAUUUUAAUAUGUAAAUAUUUAGUUUAGGCCUAAUAUCUUUAUUUAAACUAAUUUUGACUCUUUUACUUUAUUUUAUNNNNNNNNNNNNUAAUCUUGAAAAAUGCCAAAAAAUAAUUUUAUUUUAACGGUCAGUCUUAUUUUAACAAUUAUUUUACUUAAGUAGGACUAAUUAAUAAAUGAGAUCGUAUUUUAGUCUUGUUCGCGGGGAAAGAAUAAAUUUGGGUUCAAGCGACCCAUUUUUAAGUGUAAUUUUCGAACCUUCCCAAGACCAUAAUACCUAGGCCCAUACCCCUAAACUAAUUCCUACCCCCAUAUAAUAGUACUUAAUGCCUAAAUAAGGCCGUACGCCAAAAACAACCCAAUCCGCUGUUUGUCUUCAUAAAUCAAAAGAAAAGACAAAAAAGAUGACAAUAAGAAAAGGACCAAAAAGCUGACCUAGGGAUACAAUCAAACGCUAUAACCAAAAAGAGAGGAGCCAUCUUUUGACAAAAAAAUCGUACCCCCACCCCCUGACUUCAUCUUCUCCAAACGACCCCCCUUUUCCUCUUCUCCGGCGGAGCCCACACCAGCGACCAACAGCAGCCCCUAUUUCGCCAAAAAAUAAGCAGAAAUAGACCGGAAAAAGUCCCCGACGAGGUCCCGGUUCAAGUUUCCGGCGUACGGUCAGAGGCUAAGGAGGAACUUCGUAGGCAAGAAGUGGAGGUAGUCCUCUCAUAUUCUUCUUAUUCUCGUCUUAGCAAACUCUAUAGUAUGCUUUAUCUAUCAUCCAAAAUAUGUACUUUGUCAUCUCUCAUUUAUUGUGUUUUAAAUUCUAUUUAAAUCUGAUUACCUUAGAUGACGACAACGUGCAUUAGUCUGUUAAUUUAUCUAUACAAAUUUAAGAGGGGUGGUAUUCAAUAGAACUAUGUUCAUUUUAUGUUCUACCUAAGCAGAAAUUCGAAAAGUUUCUUAUUUCGCGUAAGAACAUACAAACCAUUUAUCCUAGAUAUAUGUGUUCAAGUUAUAUCUCAGUUCAAAUGGGUGUAUUUCAGAAAUUGAGGCAAUGCGAUUAAAUUGAUUUUUUUAAUUACCAAAUUCGGGUGUGCAUUUCAUGUGACCCUACCAUAAUUUUGAAUAAUGAUAGUAGAAAUUAUCAUGUUAUAAAUCCGGGUGUACAUUUUAUGUGACCCGGCUCUCAUUUCCAACAAGGUUAAAUAGAACGUGUCGUGAACCACGGGUGCAUUUCAUGUAGCGUGGCUUGCGAUGUGUUUUGAAUAACCUUGAAUUAAUCCUUUAAAUAAUUAAAGCGAUUUUCAAAAGUUAAAAAUGCACAUAGGUUUAAAACUAUUUUAAAAAUCAAAUAAAUAGGCCAAUAAUAAUAGUUGAGCGACCGUGCUAGAACCACUGAAUCCGGAAAUGCCUAACACCUUCUCCCGGGUUAACAUAAUUCCUUACCCGGAUUUCUGUGUUUGCGGACUAUAAAACAGAGUCAAUCUUUUCUCAAUUCGGGAUUUGAACUGGUGACUUGGGACACCAUAAACCAUCCCAAGUGGCGACUCUGAUUUUAAAUAAAAUAAUCCCGUUUCGAUUGUUACUUAAAUUGGAAAGAACUCCCUUAUGCCGCCCUCGGGCGGUAAAAACAGGUGUGACACUUUUGAUACGAAUGAACAUGUGGGGGAAUAAGGAUUUCAUUGAUGUAAAUUUUGUCAGAUUCCGAGACGUGGGCUCGGGGGUCGGGUUUGGUAAAUUUUGGGAUUUGUUUUGUAAUUUGGUUACUUUCGAGUGGGCUUUGUUCCCUUAGCAUAUUUUGAUGAUUAUAUACUGAUUUUGGUUAGAUUUUGGGUCAUCACCUGUUUUUAAAAUGAAUUCUAUGUUCUGAGGCCUUAACCUCUUUUUGUCUCACAUCGAUUUGCGUGCACAGUCGGGACACGUAGCCGGAAAGCUAAUAUGUGAAAAUCUGUGGAAAAUGGUAAAUUUUGAUUAUAAAAUGAAUUAGGUUGACUUCGGUCAAUAUUUUGGGUAAAUGGACCGAACCCAUGAUUUGACGGUCCUGGAGGGUCCGUAGGAAAAUAUGGGACUUGGGCGUAUGCCCGAAAUCGAAUUCCGAGGUCUCAAGCCCGAGAAAUAAAUUUUUAAAGAAAAUUGUUUUUCUGAAUAUAUUUAUGAGAUUUAGAAAUGAAUUGUUAUUAGAACUUGAUGGUAUCGGGCCCGUAUUUUGGUUCCGGCAGGUCUUAUAUUUGAUUUAAGAUAAGUCUGUGAAAUUUGGUAAGAAAUGGACUUGAAACGACGUGAAUCGGAUCAUUUUUUAGAAAACUGGAAAUUUGAAGUUCUUAAGAAAAUUUCAUGAUUUUGAUGCUAAAUUCCUAGUUGUUGAUGUUAUCUUAGUGAUUUGAAUGCACGAGCAAGUCCGUAUGAUAUUUUUAGAUUGGUGUGCAUGUUUGGUUGAGAGCCCCGAGGGCUCGGGUGAGUUUUGGAUAGGCCACAAAGUGAAAUUUUAACUUAGGAAAUUGCUGGUAUGCUUCAGGCCUACAGGCUUCGCAUCUCGCAAAUGCGAGCAAUGUAUCGCAAAUGCGAUAGGUGGCCUGGGUUGCCUUCUUCGCAAAUGCGAACUGUCUAUUGCAAAUGCGACGUCUGCCUGGAAUCCCCCUUAGUCACAAAUGCGAGACCUCAGUCGCACAUGCGACUUCACAAAUGCGACACUGCUUUCGCAAAUGCGAACAUAGCAGAGGUCGGGGUUCGCAAUUCCCAUAUCUGCAACCUGUAAUUUUUAUACUUAGCCGAAAAUCAACCAUUUUUCACACUCUUUCAAAACCAAAACACUCUCGGGCGAUUUUUCAAAGACAACUCUUCUUCCAAAUCGAUUGUAAGUCAAUUUCAACUCUUUUUCUUCAAUCAUUAACAUCUUUUAACAUGAUUUCAACUCAAAAUCAAUGAUUUUCAUGGGGGAAAUAGAGUGUAUUGGGUAGAACCUAGGUUUUUCAAAAAUUGAGGAUUUGGACCUCGAUUUGAGGUCCGAUUUCAAACAAAUUAUAUAUUUGGGUUUGUGGGAAAAUGGGUAAUCGAGUUUUUGUUCGAACCUCGGGUUUUGACCAUGUGGGCCUGGGGGCAAUUUUUGACGUUUUGGGUAAAAAUUUCGAAAACUCAUUUUUAUGCAUUGGGGUUGAUUCAUUUAGCGUUUAUUGAUGUAAUUAAGUAACUUGUGGCUAUAUACGAGCAAAUUAGUGGUGGAAUCAAAGGGUAAAGCAAUAAUUGAGACGUGAAUUGUGACGUGAAUUGUGUUCGUGGCAUCGAUGUAAGUGUUUGGUUUAACCUGAGCUUGAGGGAUUAGGAGUUGUGUCCUAUUUGCUACUUGUUUCUUAUUGAGUACGAUGUAUAGGCAUGGUGACGAGUAUCUAUACAUUGGUGUCGAGCAUGAUCGUGAGCCUUAAAUUGUGAUUUAUUGUGUUCUUGAAUAAUACUACGGAUGCUUAAAUUGAUUAUUCUCUGUAUUGAGCAAGGAUUAUGAUUGUUCUCGUGGAAUUACUUAUGAUUGAGUAUUGGUGUUAGCUGAAGUAGUUAGAUGUUGGAACAAGUUUGGUUAUAGCUAUUUCUCCCUUGCCGGGAUGUAUUUAUUGAUACUGUCGAUUCCCUUGCCGGAAUAGUGUAGUUCUUUAUUGAUACCUUGCCGGGACUCUUGUUAUGAUUGUUGUUGAUUAUAUAUGUGGAUCGGGUUGCACGCCGCAAUAAUAUUAUAUGUGGAUCGGGUUACACGCCGCAACAAUAUUAUAUGUGGAUGGUUGCACGUCGCAACAAUGAUAUAUGUGGAUCGGGUUACACGUCGCAACAAUGAUAUAUGUGGAUCGGGUUGCACGCCGUAAUAGUGUUGUUAUAUUUUGGGAUCGGGUUGCGUGCCGCAACAAUUAUUGAUACAAAGUGUUUAUAGAUUGGAUACAAGUUUCUUAUUGUUUUGCCGUGAAUUCUAAGCUAUCAUUAUGCCGUUACUCUUGAUUUACUGUUGAUAUUGAUACACCCCUCGCAGCAUGUACCCUCAUCCCAUCUUUACUUGUUUAUUCCUGCUUCAUUUUAUGCAGUAUAUUAUAUAACUGCACAGGUUCAUUUGGUAGUCUGGUCAUUGCCUCGUCACUACUUCGCCGAGGUUAGGCUAGGCACUUACCAACACAUGGGGUCGGUUGUGCUGAUACUACACUCUGCACUAUGUGCAGAUCCCGGAGCAGCUCUUGGACCAUAGCAUUUGGGUGGCUACCUUCAGUCCACGCAGAGAUCCAAGGUAGACCUGUAGGCGUCCGCAGGCCCUGGCGUCUCCUCUAUCCUUUAUUUCCUGUUUCAUUUCUUUGAUUUAGAAACAGCGUAUCUUUAUUUUCAGACUUUAUAUUUAGCACUCUUAGAUCAUCUGUGGUACUGUGACACCAGUUCUGGGUGAUUAAGGCUUAAAUAGUUGUAUUAGAUUCAUAUUUCACAUAUUUUACUACAUUUCUUCCGCUUAAUGAAAUUUUCG